AAUAGUUUUAUGCCAUAUCAGUAUUCUUAUCCUGAAUUUCAGGAUUUUAUCCUGAAAAAAAUCCAAUCUAAAUUAAAAUACUGAAAUUCAGGAUAAAAUCAAAUCCAAAUUAAAAUACUGAAAUUUAGGAUAAAAUCCUGAAAUUCAGGAUAAGAAUACUGAUGUGGCAUAAAACUAUU
Molecule: microRNA precursor, 179 nt
Filed under: Gossypium hirsutum (cotton)
Lineage: Eukaryota; Viridiplantae; Streptophyta; Magnoliopsida; Malvales; Malvaceae
Description: MIR7504 microRNA precursor family
Rfam family: MIR7504 microRNA precursor family
Source: Rfam by way of RNAcentral